RNAcentral lists this transfer RNA (87 nucleotides) under Desulfurobacterium crinifex. RNAcentral describes it as "tRNA-Leu". It matches the Rfam family "tRNA". Rfam says of the family: Transfer RNA (tRNA) molecules are approximately 80 nucleotides in length. Their secondary structure includes four short double-helical elements and three loops (D, anti-codon, and T loops). Lineage: Bacteria; Pseudomonadati; Aquificota; Aquificia; Desulfurobacteriales; Desulfurobacteriaceae. RNAcentral also lists the same sequence under 1 other name. The record is from RNAcentral.
GCCCGGGUGGCGGAAUUGGCAGACGCGCAGGACUCAGGAUCCUGUGGACGCAAGUCCGUGCGGGUUCAAAUCCCGCCCCGGGCACCA